GUUGAUCCUGCCAGUAGUCAUAUGCUUGUUUCAAGGAUUAAGCCAUGCAAGUGCCAGAGUAACUGUUUGUAUCAGAGGUCUGCGUACGGCUCAUUAAACGGUUUAUUAUCUACCCAGCGAAGGUGGUUUCAAAACCGCCCGAUGGAUAACUCCGCUAACUGUGGAGCUAAUACACGUAUGAAAAAGCUUGCCCUAUCAACCUCUCAAGGGGUUCGCUCCAAAGGAGGUGGGGUGGGCUGCUAUUGGCCGGUACAAAAACUAACGCCCGAUUAGGGCAGCAUUAACAGUUGAGGCAGGCCAAUCUUGCAAAAGCGCUCUUUUGGGCGCGUUGCUGGACGAAUUUACCACCUAUCAGGUAGAUGGUAGUGUAGUGGACUACCAUGCCAGUGACGGGUAACGGGGGAUUGGGGUUCGAUUCCGGAGAGGGUGCCUGAGAAAUGGCAACCAUCGCUAUGGCGAGCAGCAGGCGCGCAAAUUGCCCAAUGCCGACUCGGUGAGGCAGCGACGAAAAAUAACAACUUCACCGCCUUAUGGCAUGAAGAUUGUAAUGAUUUGUAAACACACGUACUAAGAGUAUCCAUUGGAGGACAAGUCUGGUGCCAGCACCCGCGGUAAUACCAGCUCCAAGAGCGUAUAUUAAUGUUGCUGCGGUUAAAAAGCUCGUAGUUGGACGUAAGAGCCAAGGCUGUGGUUGGGUCCGUCGGCUGGAAGCUUCGGCCGAAGGCUGUCGUGAUCUGCCACAAUAUGCCGAGGCUCUUUCAUCUUGUGGGAGUGGUUGCUUGCCGAAGCCACAGUAAAACAGAAUGUUCAAAGUAAUCGGCUUGCCGAUUGAAUGUCAAAGCAUGGAAUAACAAGGGAUCGACCACUGUGGCCUCUUUUUGUUGGUUUUCACGCCUCAGUGUGGUAACUCCGCGCAGGACUUCUCUUGGGCGUUCCUGGGUUCCUACUCAGGUCGUCCUUGUAGAGUCCUGUUGCAUUCGGGAUCAAUAGGAGCGCGGGGAGCAAUCAGUACUUCGGGGUGAGAGGUGAAAUUCAUAGACCCCCGAAAGACUAACAUCAGCGAAAGCCGUUUGCUAUCGCGCUUUCAUUAAUCAAGAACGAGAGAAAGGGGAUCGAAGAUGAUCAGAUACCGUCGUAGUCCUUUCCGUAAAUGAUGCAGACUUGGGAUCGGUCACUGUUCUUCUAGUGACAUGAUCGGCACCUCAUUCCCUGUCGAGAAAUCAAAGUCUUUGUGUUCCGGGGGGAGUAUAUUCGCAAGGCUGAAACUUAAAGGAAUUGACGGAGAACCACCACCAGACGUGGAGU
RNAcentral lists this ribosomal RNA (1305 nucleotides) under uncultured soil eukaryote. Its description in RNAcentral is "SSU rRNA". It matches the Rfam family "Eukaryotic small subunit ribosomal RNA", at positions 7 to 1182 of the family's 1831-position model. The record is from RNAcentral.